CUCUCUCAAAAAGUAGAAAUUUGCAUUUACAAAAACAGGGCCAUUCUGACAUAGAGAAAGGGGAAGUUUCAAGAAAUUCUCCAGUGUUCUUGAUGAAGAAGAGAUCAUCAGCUCACAUGAAGAGGAGCACAACCGUAAAAAAGGAUACCCACAACAAAAAGAUUUUGGGUGUUAAACUGGCUCACGGAAGCCAUAUGCACGUAAACGGCACGUUUGAUACGCUAUAUCGAUAAUGAUUGAAUGGAAUAAUUGACUAUCCAUUACACACACGUGUUUCCAUAACUAAAGUAUGAUAAUUAUUUGUUUUCCUUAUAAGAUUAGAAACUCAAGAACUAGAAAAUACGUAUGGUGUAAGAUACUAGGUUCAAUUCUUUUCUUUUCUUUUCUUUUUUUUCUUCUUUUUUUGACAUGUAAAAAGUCCGCAAGGCGAUCAACGAAAAUUCAAUCUGAAAUUCUUAAACGUUUUUAUUCUUUUUAUCAUAUUAAUUUUGGCCUUCAAACAAAUCCAGAUACGUGUAGAAAAUCAUUGCUAGGUUAUGACUUUUGCUCACAAUUGAAAAAAAUAAUUAAAUUAAAAAAUUAAAAAUAUCUUCUAACUGAAAUAAUUGUAUAGUGCAAUAAUGAUAGUUGGACACUUGGCCGUUGUAUAGCUGAUUGUAAUCCUUAGUCAAGAACCACA
This 679-nucleotide long non-coding RNA is filed under the name Olea europaea subsp. europaea. Lineage: Eukaryota; Viridiplantae; Streptophyta; Magnoliopsida; Lamiales; Oleaceae. The record is from RNAcentral.